GUGAAGAUACUAUUACAGUAUAAUUGAAAUGUUUUAUUAUUGUUCCCCAUGCUUAAAGCAUUUGAUGCAUAAUUAUCUCUGUCUAAAGGCAGAGAUUUUGGUCUCAAGCAU
Molecule: small nucleolar RNA, 111 nt
Filed under: Otolemur garnettii (small-eared galago)
Lineage: Eukaryota; Metazoa; Chordata; Mammalia; Primates; Galagidae
Description: Small nucleolar RNA SNORA63 (ENSOGAG00000019362.1)
Source: RNAcentral